UACAGAGGUGGCAAGCGUUGUUCGGAAUUAUUGGGCGUAAAGCGCGCGCAGGUGGUUUCUUAAGUCUGAUGUGAAAGCCCACGGCUCAACCGUGGAGGGUCAUUGGAAACUGGGGAACUUGAGUGCAGAAGAGGAAAGUGGAAUUCCAAGUGUAGCGGUGAAAUGCGUAGAGAUUUGGAGGAACACCAGUGGCGAAGGCGACUUUCUGGUCUGUAACUGACACUGAGGCGCGAAAGCGUGGGGAGCGAACAGG
This 253-nucleotide ribosomal RNA is filed under the name uncultured bacterium. Its description in RNAcentral is "partial 16S ribosomal RNA". It matches the Rfam family "Bacterial small subunit ribosomal RNA", at positions 524 to 776 of the family's 1533-position model. The record is from RNAcentral.